This 406-nucleotide ribosomal RNA is filed under the name uncultured bacterium. Its description in RNAcentral is "partial 16S ribosomal RNA". It matches the Rfam family "Bacterial small subunit ribosomal RNA", at positions 29 to 526 of the family's 1533-position model. The record is from RNAcentral.
AUUGAACGCUGGCGGCAGGCCUAACACAUGCAAGUCGAACGAGUGGCGGACGGGUGAGUAAUGUCUGGGAAACGGCCCGAUGGAGGGGGGUAACUACCGGAAACGGUAGCUAAUACCGCAUACCAUCGGAUGUGCCCAGGUGGGAUUAGCUAGUAGGUGGGGUAACGGCACACCAAGGCGACGAUCCCUAGCUGGUCUGAGAGGAUGACCAGCCACACUGGAACUGAGACACGGUCCAGACUCCUACGGGAGGCAGCAGUGGGGAAUAUUGCACAAGGGGCGAAAGCCUGAUGCAGCCAUGCCGCGUGUAUGAAGAAGGCCUUCGGGUUGUAAAGUACUUUCAGCGGGGAGGCGUUACUCGCAGAAGAAGCACCGGCUAACUCCGUGCCAGCAGCCGCGGUAAUAC